CCUACGGGAGGCAGCAGUAGGGAAUCUUCCACAAUGGGCGAAAGCCUGAUGGAGCAACGCCGCGUGGGUGAAGAAGGUCUUCGGAUCGUAAAACCCUGUUGUUAGAGAAGAAAGUGCGUGAGAGUAACUGUUCACGUUUCGACGGUAUCUAACCAGAAAGCCACGGCUAACUACGUGCCAGCAGCCGCGGUAAUACGUAGGUGGCAAGCGUUAUCCGGAUUGAUUGGGCGUAAAGGGAACGCAGGCGGUCUUUUAAGUCUGAUGUGAAAGCCUUCGGCUUAACCGGAGUAGUGCAUUGGAAACUGGGAGACUUGAGGGCAGAAGAGGAGAGUGGAACGCCAUGUGUAGCGGUGAAAUGCGUAGAUAUAUGGAAGAACACCAGUGGCGAAAGCGGCUCUCUGGUCUGUAACUGACGCUGAGGUUCGAAAGCGUGGGUAGCGAACAGGAUUAGAUACCCUUGUAGUC
This 465-nucleotide ribosomal RNA is filed under the name uncultured bacterium. RNAcentral describes it as "partial 16S ribosomal RNA". It matches the Rfam family "Bacterial small subunit ribosomal RNA", at positions 338 to 795 of the family's 1533-position model. The record is from RNAcentral.